Molecule: ribosomal RNA, 244 nt
Filed under: uncultured bacterium
Lineage: Bacteria
Description: partial 16S ribosomal RNA
Rfam family: Bacterial small subunit ribosomal RNA
Source: RNAcentral
CGUGAGCGGCGGACGGGUGAGUAACGCGUGGGUAACCUACCUCAUACAGGGGGAUAACAGUUGGAAACGGCUGCUAAUACCGCAUAAGCGCACAGUACCGCAUGGUACCGUGUGAAAAACUCCGGUGGUAUGAGAUGGACCCGCGUCUGAUUAGCUAGUUGGUGGGGUAACGGCCUACCAAGGCGACGAUCAGUAGCCGACCUGAGAGGGUGACCGGCCACAUUGGGACUGAGACACGGCCCAA